CCUACCACAACGGCUUCCUGGCGUGGCAAGGCAAACCUGUAAUGGAGCA
This 49-nucleotide non-coding RNA is filed under the name Leisingera sp. ANG-M1. Its description in RNAcentral is "SAM-SAH-Weickhmann-2018 RNA". It matches the Rfam family "SAM/SAH riboswitch aptamer". Lineage: Bacteria; Pseudomonadati; Pseudomonadota; Alphaproteobacteria; Rhodobacterales; Roseobacteraceae. The record is from RNAcentral.